Molecule: ribosomal RNA, 1005 nt
Filed under: Triticum aestivum (bread wheat)
Lineage: Eukaryota; Viridiplantae; Streptophyta; Magnoliopsida; Poales; Poaceae
Description: partial small subunit ribosomal RNA
Source: RNAcentral
AUGCGCAUGCACAUGGCAAAAAAUAUUUACAGUUCAUCAUUCCACCCACUGCACGGCAUAAGGGAAAAAAAGGUGGGCUCUUGGUCAAAGCAGUCACCGGACGGCGGAGGCCACGGUGUGCGCCCAGAGCCGGAGGUUCUCCUUGAGGUCAGCGCCGUCGGCGGCGGCCGGGAUCCUGAAGUUGCUCAGCACCCGCCUCACCUCCGUCUCCUCGUCCUCCCACGCCUCCGACAAGUACGGCCUCCUCGGCGCCGCGUCGGAGGCCUCCGCGGCGGCCCUGUUCCUACAGGCUUCCUCCUCGGCGCAGGCCGCCGCCUCCGCCGCCUUGGCUCUUCUGGCUUCUUCCUCCGCGCGCAGCCGCCUGAGCCCCGGCACGAUGGACGCGAGCUCGGCGUCGACGUCGGUCUCGGAGAAGGUGAAGCCGAGGUCCUGCAGGCCCUUGACCUCCUCGAACUCCAGCUCCGACAGGCUCCGCCCGCGGCGGCUCCUCCGCCUCCUCCCGCCGGGCCGCCGCGCCUCCGGCCUCCGGCGCUCGGGCAGCGGCUCCGGCGCGGCCAGGCCGUCCUUCCCGGACAGGAUGGUCUCGAGCCUCGCGCGGUGGCCGUUGGGGAUCUUGAGCGGCUCCAGCUGGCCGUGGAACGCGGCGGCCUUGGCCUCGUCGCUCCGCGUCCUGCGGUGCCGCUGCAGCCCGGACGGGGCCCGCCGCAGCUCGCUCUUGCUCUCCUCCGCCGGCGCCUGCUCCGGCUGCUCGCGCUCAGGCGCCGGCGGCGGCGGCUGGGGCGCGGGAGGGGAGUAGGCGUUGAGGACGAGGCGGUGGAACCAGUAGGUGUCGUAGAGCGCGAUGGCCUCCUCCGCCACGGCCAGCUGCGGCCGAGGCUGCCGCUCCAUUCGGGGGGAGAGAGGGUGCGCGCGCGUUGGGUUCCGCGACGGGACUGGCUGCGGUGGGCGUUGGGAGCGGCGGCAGGCGAGGUUUUUAUAUGCAAAACGCAGCCCCGUCUAGUCUAG